Molecule: long non-coding RNA, 527 nt
Organism: Meleagris gallopavo (turkey)
Lineage: Eukaryota; Metazoa; Chordata; Aves; Galliformes; Phasianidae
Source: RefSeq, a predicted model, not a curated record
AAGCUGAUAACAGAAAUUUAUUUGGUCUCUGCUGCAGGUGAGCCACUGAGUCCUCAGACAGCAUCCUCCCCUCCAGCAUGUGAUGAAGAGCAAUGCCUGGUGCUGCCCGGCGCCGGCAGAACAGCAGCUCUGGGAACGCCUGUCCUGCCAGCACAGCACUGGGGAGAAGAGGACGCACCUCCUGCUCAGAGGGAGGGAUGUCAGUGUGUGCACAUGGCCCAGCUCCCAGCCUGUUCUCCUGGCUGGGAGGGGCGUUCCCAUGAGAUAAGCCUGGGGCAGCAGAGGAGUUACUCUUCUCCCAUAACCUCAGCAUCGAUGACGCCCGCCUGACCCAGGAUGAGAAAGGAAGAACUGGACAGGAGAGGAGAGCACAGCUGACACUGCCAGUCUGAAGUGAUGUGUGGGAGUCUGACUGGGCCAGCAGAGGACAGAUAGGGAGCAUGGGGACAUAGUUAACACAAAAAUGUCUGUUAGUUAGUAGUGUUAUUGUCGAAAAGCUCUGUAAAUAAAUUAUUUGAUAUCAUUCA